AGGGAUGUAGUUAACUAUAACAUUUGAUUUGCAUUCAAAAAGUGUCUUUUUAGACCCUCCUUG
This 63-nucleotide transfer RNA is filed under the name Moina macrocopa. Its description in RNAcentral is "tRNA-Ala". It matches the Rfam family "tRNA". Rfam says of the family: Transfer RNA (tRNA) molecules are approximately 80 nucleotides in length. The record is from RNAcentral. Lineage: Eukaryota; Metazoa; Arthropoda; Branchiopoda; Diplostraca; Moinidae.